This 253-nucleotide ribosomal RNA is filed under the name uncultured bacterium. RNAcentral's name for it is "partial 16S ribosomal RNA". It matches the Rfam family "Bacterial small subunit ribosomal RNA", at positions 524 to 776 of the family's 1533-position model. The record is from RNAcentral.
UACGUAGGGUGCAAGCGUUGCCCGGAUUUAUUGGGCGUAAAGGGCGCGUAGGCGGCUCUGCACGUCCGUUGUGAAAUCGCCCGGCUCAACUGGGCGGGGUCAGCGGAUACGGCAGAGCUUGAGCAAGCUAGGGGGCAAUGGAAUUCCCGGUGUAGUGGUGGAAUGCGCAGAUAUCAGGAGGAACACCAGCGGCGAAGGCGGCGCUCUGGGCCGGUACUGACGCUGAGGAGCGAAAGCGUGGGUAGCAAACAGG